CCUACGGGAGGCAGCAGUGAGGAAUAUUGGUCAAUGGACGAGAGUCUGAACCAGCCAAGUAGCGUGAAGGAUGACUGCCCUAUGGGUUGUAAACUUCUUUUAUAUGGGAAUAAAAUGUUCCACGUGUGGGAUUUUGUAUGUACCAUAUGAAUACGGAUCGGCUAACUCCGUGCCAGCAGCCGCGGUAAUACGGAGGAUCCGAGCGUUAUCCGGAUUUAUUGGGUUUAAAGGGAGCGUAGGUGGAUUGUUAAGUCAGUUGUGAAAGUUUGCGGCUCAACCGUAAAAUUGCAGUUGAAACUGGCAGUCUUGAGUACAGUAGAGGUGGGCGGAAUUCGUGGUGUAGCGGUGAAAUGCUUAGAUAUCACGAAGAACUCCGAUUGCGAAGGCAGUUCACUGGACUGCAACUGACACUGAGGCUCGAAAGUGUGGGUAUCAAACAGGAUUAGAUACCCGUGUAGUC
RNAcentral lists this ribosomal RNA (460 nucleotides) under uncultured bacterium. RNAcentral's name for it is "partial 16S ribosomal RNA". It matches the Rfam family "Bacterial small subunit ribosomal RNA", at positions 338 to 795 of the family's 1533-position model. The record is from RNAcentral.